RNAcentral lists this non-coding RNA (30 nucleotides) under Mus musculus (house mouse). The record is from RNAcentral. Lineage: Eukaryota; Metazoa; Chordata; Mammalia; Rodentia; Muridae.
CCCAAGUGUGUACUACCAACCCUAGUCAUA